Molecule: long non-coding RNA, 749 nt
Organism: Uranotaenia lowii
Lineage: Eukaryota; Metazoa; Arthropoda; Insecta; Diptera; Culicidae
Exons: 4
Source: RefSeq, a predicted model, not a curated record
UGAUCUCCUGUGUCACCGCGAGGAAGUGUUAUUACCCGGAGAGCGGCACAUCCGCGUAAAUUUACCGUUGUAUGUGUGUCGGUUGAAAGUCUCUUAACGUUCUUCAGAAAACGGUUUUGCAUUGCCGUUCUUUCUGUCUGUGACCGUUUUGGAGAACGGAAGUGCGCGUCGUGUUAAAUAGAUUAAAACAACAAAAAGUAGUACAGAAAAGUUAAAACAGUGAUCGAAAAAUCGUAAAGCGAUCAAAUAAAAACACAAAAAAAGUACGUUACCUAAACAAAACGUUAACAAACAUACAACAAACAUUGUAACAAAAGUGUGACGAAAAACAACAUAAAAAGGUCCAAGAGGGCCUUUUUUUUGUUCUUUUGGCUUUUCUAUCAGAGCACGGCGCCCCGGAGUAUUGUUACUGAAUCCCAAAACCGGAGUAAUCCAGACAGAAAGGAAUUGUCUGACACCGCUUCAGACCCGACGGCAAAAGGUCUACCGACAACAGCAUCAUCGGAAAUUGGCCAGUAGUUUUCAACUGUCGUUUAUUGGUCCUUCCGGGACGCCGGAAGUGGACCGGUGAAACAUUGGCCUGUUCCGAACCUACGAAGCUGCUCGCCGUGAAUCAACAAAAUGACCGCUGAAAACAACCAUACAUCGGGUUCCGCGGCCUUGACUAACGCCGCUGUGCCAGCAAUAGAACGAACCGCAAGUAUAGAUAAGCUAAAAACCUGUGACGUCAGUAGGGACAACUAGUAUAA